This 207-nucleotide ribosomal RNA is filed under the name uncultured bacterium. RNAcentral describes it as "partial 16S ribosomal RNA". It matches the Rfam family "Bacterial small subunit ribosomal RNA", at positions 568 to 774 of the family's 1533-position model. The record is from RNAcentral.
CUCGUAGGCGGUUCGAUAAGUCGGGUGUGAAACCUCCAGGCUCAACCUGGAGACGCCACCCGAUACUGUCGUGACUAGAGUCCAGUAGGGGAGCGUGGAAUUCCUGGUGUAGCGGUGAAAUGCGCAGAUAUCAGGAGGAACACCAGCGGCGAAGGCGGCGCUCUGGGCUGGAACUGACGCUGAGGAGCGAAAGCGUGGGAGCGAACA